RNAcentral lists this long non-coding RNA (5113 nucleotides) under Apis mellifera (honey bee). Its description in RNAcentral is "uncharacterized LOC102654893". The record is from RNAcentral. Lineage: Eukaryota; Metazoa; Arthropoda; Insecta; Hymenoptera; Apidae.
GCAAAGAAGAAAUUUCCAUUAAUAUAAUUUUCAAACUUAAAGAAAUUCGACAAUAGUUAAAAAAAAAAUAUUCCAGAUACGUGUACAAUGUUACGUGUAAAGAAGAAAUUUCCAUUAAUAUAAUUUUCAAACUUAAAGAAAUUCGACAGUCUGCUAAUUAAAAAAAAAAAAAUAUUCCAGAUACGUGCAAAGGAGCAAUUUCCAUUAAUAUAAUUUUCAAACCUAAAGAAAUUCAACAAUAAUUAAAAAAAAAAAUAUUUCAGAUAUGUGAUACAAUGUUACGUGCAAAGAAGAAAUUUCCAUUAAUAUAAUUUUCAAACUUAAAGAAAUUCGACAGUCUGUUUAAUUAAAAAAAAAAAAAUAUUCCAGAUACGUGCAAAGGAGCAAUUUCCAUUAAUAUAAUUUUCAAACCUAAAGAAAUUCGACAAUAAUUAAAAAAAAAAAUAUUCCAGAUAGAUGUACAAUAUUAUGUGCAAAGAAGAAAUUUCUAUUAAUAUAAUUUUCAAACUUAAAGAAAUUCGACAGUCUGCUUAAUUAAAAAAAAAAUAUUCGAUUCCAGAUACGUGCAAAGAAGCAAUUUCUAAUUUAAUAUAAUUUUCAAUUCCGAUUAUUCGAGGAAGAAAUUGGAUAAAUAAGGAAUAAUUCGAGAAUCUCGGUUGGUCGAUUAAAAAGAGAAAUAUUCCGGAUGAUAUACGGUGUGUAUACAGUGUUCCAGUUAGUUAACGUCUGUUAAUCGUCAAGAUCGUGAUCCAAGGCAUUUCUAAUUAGCUUAUAGGGAUAUGUUUAUCGUUGAACGAUAUUCGCGAUAUCGAGCGUACAUAACCAGUCCUUGACCCGUUCAUUCCCAAUAAUCCUACCAUUUCCACCAAUUGAAAAAACGAUAUUUGAUACUCGUUCGAUUGUCCUCGCGUCGAUAAAUUUUCCGACGAGAUGAAAAUAUCAAAAUCUCUUUUCUUUUAUUUCACUUGGAUCGCUCACAUUUUCACAAUUGUUGUACCAUUUACCGCGAGAAAGGGGGAGGGAGGAGGCUCGAUCAAGAUUCCGGACGAGGCAUUAUAAAGUCGAAGGGAGUAGAGAGAGGGAGCUGCGCGACGUUUACACGUGGAAUCGAAGGGAAGAGAUGGGCCCCCCUCCCCUCCCUCGUAUCGCGCGCGCCACGAAGCGAGGAUCUGUCGCAAUGGUGGAUCGAUGUGUCGCAACGCGGCGGCAGCAGCAGCAACGGCACACAGCGCCGGGUCGGGCAUAAUAGCGUCGCGGCGGUGCGUCGCGAUGCGUGCAUACAACUAUACCGUACUAUUUAUAAGCGGACGAAAAAACGCGUGGUUAAAGGAGAGAAACGCGUGGAGAGGAGGCCGUGGAAGGGCACGGGAAGGAAAGCGUUUUUCGGCGCCCGACCGACUCGAAUUUUUCCCCGCGACGCCACCGCCCUCUGACCCAUUUUCCCUCGAAGCUCGCCGGCGAGCCGGCUCGCCAGUUGUGCUGCCCGCCUCCGUCUCCUCCUCCCGCCGCGACCUUUUUCCCGCCUAAAUCUCGUGGAACAAUGUACCCUUUUUUCCCAAAAUGUGCAUCGUGUAUUCCCUAUCCGCGUGUAAAUUUCGAAGGAGGAUCCAUUCUCGCGUAGAAUCGAGGAAGGAAAGUCGAGGAAGAAGGAAAAAUUGUGCUCGAUCGAUUCUAACCUCUCUUCGUUAAUUCGAUCGAAAGGAAAGAACGUGCAUCGUGUAUUCCCUAUCCGCGUGUAAAUUUCGAAGGAGGAUCCAUUCUCGCGUAGAAUCGAGGAAGGAAAGUCGAGGAAGAAGGAAAAAUUGUGCUCGAUCGAUUCUAACCUCUCUUCGUUAAUUCGAUCGAAAGGAAAGAACGUGCAUCGUGUAUUCCUUUUCUCGUAUAAAUCUCGAAAGAGAAUCCAUUUUCGCGUAAAAUCGAUCGAAAGAGAAAUUGUGCUUGAUCAAUUAAUUCGUGAUGGAAAAGAUUCCUUCCUUUUCUCGUAUAAAUUUCAAGAGAGAAUCCAUUUUCGCGUAGAAUCGAUCGAAAGGAAAGAACGUGUUCCCAAACGUGCAUCGUGUAUUCCUUUUCUCGUAUAAAUUUCAAAAUUUAUUUUCGCGUAGAAUCGAUCGAAAGAAAAAUUGUGCUUGAUCAAUUAAUUCGUGAUGGAAAAGAUUCCUUCCUUUUCUCGUAUAAAUUUCAAGAGAGAAUCCAUUUUCGCGUAGAAUCGAUCGAAAGGAAAGAACGUGUUCCCAAACGUGCAUCGUGUAUUCCUUUUCUCGUAUAAAUUUCAAAAUUUAUUUUCGCGUAGAAUCGAUUGAAAAAAAAAUUGUGCUUGAUCAAUUAAUUCGUGAUGGAAAAGAUUCCUUCCUUUUCUCGUAUAAAUUUCAAGAGAGAAUCCAUUUUCGCGUAGACUCGAUCGAAAGAAAAAUUGUGCUCGACGAAUUCUAACCUCUUCGUCGUUAAUUCAUAAUGGAAAAGACACAAUGUGUACCUUUUCUUACCAGAAUUUCGACACGUAUCAUCGCUUAGAAUCGAUUAAAAGAAAUUGUAUCCAAGCUAAAUUUCCAACCUCUUCGUCAUUAAUUGGAUAAUGGAAAAGUUGCAGCAAAUCGUCAAAUUGUGUUACGCAAUGAUCGUUGAGAAUUUCGAAAAUCGAGGACGAGAUUGGAACGGAAUCGGUGUACGUAGCGCUCUCUGAGAGGCUCUCGAGGAGAUAAGGGAGUAUAUACACACAUAGUUGCGUAGAAAAUGGUAGGAAAACAAUUUGUUGACAUUGAAGCGUUGCCGUGGACGGGAUUGGUAAACAGGAAGAAAUAUGUUGGGAUGGUUGGAGCGGCAUUGGCGAUAAAAUAAAACAGCCUUAUCCGAUCGGUUGGCCUAUUUCACGACGGACAAUUGCAUAAACGCGCCACGUCGUCGUAAGCACGCACGCACACAAACACACACAUACACACACACAAUAUACACACACGCACGAUAUAUUUAUAGACGAGGAAGGUCGAGGAAGAAAGCGCGCCUAGACCGUUUGACCAUUUGGCAGAGGCAGCUGCCGAGCAAUCAUAUCCAGACCGGCCACUAAUAAUAUCGUCCAACCUCGCCAUUUUCUGCAACGUUUGUUUCUUGUAUAUUCCUUGCAGAAUAAGGACACGUAUCGAUUCGAAAAAUCAAUUUCCAGCUUCCCGUUAUCCCGGAAAUGGAAUAAUCAAAUAAUAAACGAUGAUGAUAUUAUUUUUUCAAGAUUUCGAUUCGAAGAUCUGAUUUUCGUGGAAAAGUGAUUGGUGUAAAAUGUUAGGAAUCGUCCGUUACGUUUUAAUUCCGAUAUCGAUAAAGAAACGGAGAGAGAUACGGAGGCGCGAUACCGGGAGCCCGGUGAUUAAAAGUUCUAAGAAUAAAUGCAGCGGCGUGAAUAAGUAAGAAAAUUGUUUCAUCCAAUCAAGAUACGAGCAAAAGAGACGUUGUUUUAAUUGCUUGGGAAUUUAGUACACGUGUACCAACCGAACAGACUAUUUUCCGAUUCGUAAUCCGUAAUGCGAAGCCUCGUUUCUUUUAUUCGUCCAUUCGUAUUUGUAAUUCGCCUUUAUCAAAAGUUAUAAACCUUGUUCGGAGAAAAAGGCUUAGAGAUUGGAAAGGGGGAGUGUCGAAAAAAUCGAGGAAAGAGGAAAUGACGAAAGAGCUCAAGCUCGUCGAAAAAGUUGUCUCAAAUGUCAGCCUCGUUAACCGAUAACAUUAUCUUUUUAAACUUACUUGAAACGAGCGAAGUGAAAAACGUACGUACGAUUUCUAAAUCGAUCGAAUCCGAGCGGUAACGGAAUUUCGGGGGAAAAAUAAUAACAAGAGGAAGGAAGAAAGGAAACGUGUCGCCACCUACCGAUACGUAAACACAAUAACCGACGGUUAAUUUAGAACGGAGAAAGGGAGAGGAAGGGGGGGGCGCGGCGGUUUAGGACAGUUUAGGAAGACAUGGCGUUUGGAACGAAUCCAUCGAGUGGCCGCGAUCGAAUUUUGGCUCGAACUCGUUGCUGGUUUUCGUUGUUGGUAACGGCCGGCUCGAAAGUAACACUCCACCGCACCGCAUUGGCCGUCGUCUCGUAUAGGCGCCAACCUAUAUUUCGCUUUGGAACAAUUGUUGCAGAAACGAACGAUACGCGCGCUGUACGCGAGCUUCGCACGCACCGCGUGUGGUUUGCUGCCAGUGGUGGUGCGCGCGCACACCGCUCUCGCAUGCACGCCUUAUUUAUAGACUCGGGAGGAAGGUCACGAAGAAAGCGCGGCUAGACGAGCGAUUCGUUUCGACAUCGUUUCCGCCGUUGACCCAUAUCGUCCCCGAUUCUUUUCGACAUCCACGCUUCCACUGUUUUGACCCACUUCCAACUCCCAUUCCCUCCCAGUCCCUCGCUCGCUUUUCCAUCGUUCCGCUCUAGCUUCUAGAUUCUCUAGGCUUUAGGAGUAAAGGAGAAAAAAGAAGGGAGGUACGUUAUUACAAGCGUAGUAGCGUAACAUUCGAAAUUCGUCUCGAGGAGCAAUAAGUUGUUUAUCCGAGAGACGAGAGAUUUACAAACUUGACCUCUCGUCUUGUCUCCCUUCCCUCUCCCUCUCUCUCUCUCUCUCUCUCUCUCGAACGCCUCGAGCGAUCCAUUUUCCUUGAUUGAAAAUUUCUCGCCGUGUUUACGCACGGCUGGUUAAUCGCGCAGAUAAGAUAAAACUGAGUUUCGUUACUCCUAUCCGAACGUUUCCAAUUAUUUCUAACUAUUUCUCGGGCUUGUUGUAGUAGAUCGGUGUUAAGGUCGAUGCGAAUAUUCGGCUUUAUAUAUUCGUUCUCUUUUUUCUUUUUUUUUUUCGAAAACCUCUUCCUCUCCCCGAUUCUCGAUCAAGUUCAUAACCGAGAAUAAUACUUUUUUUUGCAGAUUAAGGAUCGUACAGGAGGACGAGGAAGUCGAACGACGUUGCUGCUUUAAAAUCGUUCGAGCGAGCCGUUUUUUUAAGCGCCCGGGGCAGAAAGAUUCCGACUCGAGACUUAACUCCGUGUACGUGUACGUGUGUGUACGUGUUUCGAAGGAACUGUUUAAUAUCGAGUUUAAUUUUUUUAAACGAAACCGCCGAGGGCGUCGUGAAAGUCUUGAAGAUAGGCGAG